UAGCCACGGUAAUACCAGCUCCUCGAGUAGUCAAGACGAUUAUUGGGCCUAAAGCGUCCGUAGCCGGCCUAGUAAGUCUCUGGUUAAAUCUAACGGCUCAACCGUUAGGCUGCUAGAGAUACUGCCAGACUCGGAGGCGGGAUAGGUCGAGGGUACUCUCAGGGUAGGGUGGAAAUCCUAUAAUCCGGAGGGGACCGACCAGUGGCGAAGGC
Molecule: ribosomal RNA, 212 nt
Filed under: uncultured archaeon
Lineage: Archaea
Description: partial 16S ribosomal RNA
Rfam family: Archaeal small subunit ribosomal RNA
Source: RNAcentral